GGAGAGAUGGCCGAGUGGACUAAGGCGGCGGUCUUGAAAACCGCAGUCCCGCAAGGGACCGGGGGUUCGAAUCCCUCUCUCUCCGCCA
Molecule: transfer RNA, 88 nt
Filed under: Acidobacteriota bacterium
Lineage: Bacteria; Pseudomonadati; Acidobacteriota
Also listed under: 1 other name
Description: tRNA-Ser
Rfam family: tRNA
About the family: Transfer RNA (tRNA) molecules are approximately 80 nucleotides in length.
Source: RNAcentral